Molecule: non-coding RNA, 184 nt
Filed under: Hydrogenibacillus schlegelii
Lineage: Bacteria; Bacillati; Bacillota; Bacilli; Thermicanales; Thermicanaceae
Description: FMN sequence
Rfam family: FMN riboswitch aptamer (RFN element)
About the family: The RFN element is a highly conserved domain that is found frequently in the 5'-untranslated regions of prokaryotic mRNAs that encode for flavin mononucleotide (FMN) biosynthesis and transport proteins. This element is a metabolite-dependent riboswitch that directly binds FMN in the absence of proteins.
Source: Rfam by way of RNAcentral
CGGUUCCUUCGGGGCAGGGUGAGGCCCGGGCCGAGCCUUUGGUGCGGGCCAAUUCCCGACCGGUGGUGAUGCCGAAGGCCAAGCCUUCGGACGAGUCCACGAGCGGCUUCCGGCGACUCGGAAGCCGCAGGAGUUUGGUGCGAAUCCAACACCGACGGUACAGUCCGGAUGGGAGAAGGAAACG